CCGGCUUGAACAGUGAUGCAGUUUGGUUGAAAAUAAUCCUGUGUAAUGCAUGUACCGUACGUGAGAUUUUUGGUCCACUGAUAUGCUGCCACGUCACCAUCAAUAGUAUAUAAGAAUUUUAGUCCAACAGGAUCGUGACACCUCAUCAGUCAAUGCAACAUCAUCGGUCAAUGCCACGUCAUCGAUCCGUCAAUGUGAACAGUGUCGUUUUUCCUUCUAUAUUCCUCCUAAGGUUUUCGAUCGUCCUGAGUUCAAAAGUGAUGUCCGUUUUGCCGUCUGAUCUCUCGUUCAUUGUGAAAUGAUUAUGAUGCCCCCUAAAAUACAUAAAAUACUUAAUUAUAAUACAACACACAUAAUUAAAUGACAAAAAAUUUAAAUACAUAAAAAUAGGAAUGUUAGUGGAACUUGAAGUGUAAAAUGACAAAUUUUUUCUUUAUAAAUAUACAUUUUCUAACACUCAACAAUUACUAAUGACGAUUAGGAGAUUCUCUCCACAAAUGAUGAUUAAGAGAUUGUCUCCACAAAUUAUUCAAGAAAAAAUUACUAAUGACGAUUAACAGAUUCUCUCCACAAGUUAUUCAAGAAAUUUUUGCAGAUAAUAUCAAUUAGAUUUUGCAACAUUUUUUCAAUAUUCUUUUCAUUCCUACUGAAGUAUCAAACAAUACCAGCCACAAUGCAAACUCAUGGCAUUACUUGAGUAGUAACUUAACCAUAUGUCACAAGUUGUACAAGACUCUUCAAUCCAAAAGAGGGCUGAAUUGUAGACUAAAACCUAGGCCUAUUAUUAAAAGCCCAAAAGUGCACUAUUAACUAGAUUUGUAAAUUUCUUGAAUGCUAAAACUAAAAAGUUCAUUCAUAUGAAGUUAUAAGUUCUGGCCUCACUGUUCUACUCAUCCUCAUCUCGCUUAAUUUAGCUGAUUAAUAGAGCAGGUUCUAGAACACAGCAAAUGUUUCUAAAAAUUGAUAAAUGACAAAAUUCUACAAUGAAUUAUUGUAAUACUAAGACACAAGAUUACCCAGAAAUGUAACAGAACUUUUAACAAACACAUGGAAUGCAAAGCCUAGAUCUAACAAAUGCAAAAAACAAAAAAAAAAUCAUUAUGCAAGAGUUGGAAAAACAUCUUAUAUUGUAUUUAGAUUUAUAAUCACACAUUGAAUAAGAGAAACAAUCAAACAAAACAAUAAUAUUGCAAAAAGACUUGAAACCCACAAAAAAAUCAUACUUAGGGUUUCAAAGAGAUGAGAACCGUGAAGCUCACGUCGAAGAUAGUUGAGAUAACUGCAAAGUUCAACAUCACUCACUAGAAAUCACCGAGAAAUAGGUAAAGCUUGUUGGCGAAUUAGUGUGAGUUUCUAGGAUUCUCGGUGGCUAGGGUUUGGGUUGUCGUCGACAGGUAAGGUUUGGUUUCAAUUUAAGACUAAAUUCGAUUCUGCCGUAGCAAAGAGAGACGACAACGGUUUACCGGCAAGCCAAUAAUAGUGAGGGUUGUCAUUGUCGGUGAGGAGUGAGCUACGCUCGAGAGAGAAGCUUUAGAGUAGUGAGUGUGGUCUUAACAUGGCUUUAGAGUAGCUUUAGCCCACAUGCCCCCUUGUGGGCUUUCCGAACUUUAUCACUAGACUCCUCAUAAUUAUUUGAAAAAUAGAAAAUAUCAUAUAUUUUUAUGGAAAAUUUUCACGUAUAGAGCUUUCUUAAUCAUUU
This 1699-nucleotide long non-coding RNA is filed under the name Citrus sinensis (sweet orange). RNAcentral describes it as "long non-coding RNA (CSIN_LNC004339)". Lineage: Eukaryota; Viridiplantae; Streptophyta; Magnoliopsida; Sapindales; Rutaceae. The record is from RNAcentral.